RNAcentral lists this small RNA (3128 nucleotides) under Pan troglodytes (chimpanzee). RNAcentral's name for it is "processed transcript". The record is from RNAcentral. Lineage: Eukaryota; Metazoa; Chordata; Mammalia; Primates; Hominidae.
UAUCUUCCAGUAUAGAGAUCUAUAUGAUAAAAAUAUCUUUCUGGCCGGGCGUGGUGGCCCACGCCUAUAAUCCCAGCACUUUGGGAGGCUGAGGCAGACGGAUCAUGAGGUUGAGACCAUCCUGGCUAACACGGUGAAACCCCGUCUCUACUAAAAAUACAAAAAAUUAGCCAGGCGUGGUGGUGCCUAUAGUCCCAGCUGCUCAGGAAGCUGAGGCAGGAGAAUGGCGUGAACCCGGGAGGUGGUGCUUGCAGUGAGCCAAGAUUGCGCCACUGCACUCCAUCCUGGGCAACAGAGCGAGACUCUGUCUCAAAAAAAAAAUUUAUAUAUAUAUAUAUAUAUAUAUAAUUCUUUGUAGAAAUUAGCUCCCUAAAUACUUGGGGUUGGUGAAGGAGACCGGGGAUUUGGAAGACUUUUCUUAGGAGUCUUGUUUAGCAUUCAGAAGGGACUCAGGCCACACUGGGUUUCUAUUUUAGGUUGAAAGUUGUGGCUCCUCACUGCCCUUUUUACCCACAAUAAAUUGCAUAGCAAAUCAGUAAAAGCGAUGACUCAUCUCCUAAUCCUGCUCCUUAAAGGGGGAAACCAGAUGCUUGCAGUUCCCCAAGUGGUAGUGUUGAUCAUGCCAAGGUGAGGACCGUCGUUCCAUCCCUUGCAAAGUGAAUCAAAGUGAAUUGUAGCCAAACACAGAUAAGACCAGAGGGUGUCUGCACUGAGCAGUCCAGGAAGGAGGGGAGCUGCAGUGGCUGUCACCAGGCUGGGGACACGAGGAGGAAUUGCAGGUGAAAUCAGAUCCAGUUUCAACUUGAGGAAAAUUCAGCCCCGGGAGCUGCUGGUAGAGCCCAGACCUUGAUGCUAAGUCAUCUGCACAGAGAAUUCCGUGACAGAAAGGCCGUGGGUAGAGACGUGAAUGGAGGAAGUGGAGUAGAUGAAAUGGUUAAAUGUUGGAGAAAAGAGGCUAUUUAUGAAUAUGACCACUGUCAUUCAGAUAAAAUUUCUGGACUUUUAUCAUUGAAAAAAGUCUCAUUAUGUUUCUAUUUGAAAGCAAACCAUUAUGCUUUUUUGAGAAAAAAAAAAACUAUGAGUCACGUUAUGCUUGCAAGUGUUUAAUUCAGACCAUUUCAUCUUUAAGAAGGCCCCUGGUCACAUUAUACGGAUGAUUUGCUUAUUAAAUGGAAUUCCUGUUUCUUGCACGAUGUUGUGGGGUCAAUAUGAGAAGCCUAAUUAACAGAAUAAAAAGCAUUAAAGCUUCUUUUGCUAAAGUCAAACUUAGAGAAUUGUCUAAUGGUAUGUAGCCCCUCGUUCUGAGAUGGGCGUUUUCCCCAGAUAACUUGAAAAUCUACUGGUAACAGCCACUUCCCUUUAAAGAAUUCUAUUACUAAUAGCCAUGACAAAAUGGUAUUGUAUUUCAAAGUUAAGAAUUUGCAGGCCUUAAAAACUAACUUAUUUUUCCUGAUUAUUGAGUUUAUUGUAGAAUUCUGCGUGUAAGCAUUCCCCAGCCGCUAUAGCUUUGAAUAAGCAGAGCUUUUUUCAGAGUUCUGGUAGCGCCCAGCCCAGCACCUUUUAUUCUGAAUGUGAAGUGUGUGCCUCCGUGUCACAGAGUCACAGCCUCCCCAGGGACGCUGCGCGCGGAGCCCUGUCAGAGCAGCGCGUCAGUGACAGCGGCAGCCGAGCCAGGAAGUUAUCAGGCAGCCUCGACCACCACCAGAUUUGACUCCGCGAGCUCUUUUGAGGGAAAACCUGGUAAAGCGUCAAGGUGUCUAACUGACCUCGCCUUUAUCAUCUGUUCUGUAAAUCUUAGGAAAGGUCUGGGAAAAAAAUCAAAACGAUUCUGUCCGUUAAAGGGCAGCCACUCCUGGCCCUCCAGGAUGCCAGGGUCUGAGUGAUCCCGAGCUGAUCUGCAGAAGCACAGCCUGUGGCAUUUGCGGUUUAUUGUCAUGAAAAUGAUUCAACGUAGAACUUUUUCAAAUGGCAAAAUCAAACCGCUCUUCUUUAUAUUGUUUUUGAAUGAGUUGUCAUGGAAACAAAAUGGAAAUAAAUGGUGUUUUUUUUCCAGAUUUGUGCUCAUUGCAGGUCUUCCCAAAAUAGUAGCUUUACUGAAUGAAUAAAGAACUAAAAUGAAGGUCCCAAAUUCAUCGCUAAGGGGCCUCCACUAAAGAGCAUGACCCCUGGAGGGGCGCGGGUCUCAGGGUCCUCGUGGCCGCGUGUGGAUUAUGUCACCACAGGAGAGGAACGAGUCCUUUCCAGGCACAUGAGGAGGAGGAAUCAGUGUUAAUGGGUGGCUUUGCAUCUGUGAAAUCGCAUAAACUUAAGUUAGCUGAAGCUGUCGUGAGACUGGCAUUUCCGAAUUGGAUUGAAGGUUUCAGGCUUCAUGCCAGCGCACCACAGCCUGUUCCUGAGUAUCUGUGCUGAGAGGCUGUAAGAUUAGUGUGAACAGGAGAAAUUUCCAGGUCCCGCUCCCGGUCCCCUCGGAGGAGAGCCCACUCCCCUGAGAGACGGAGGGAAGAGAGGAGUGUGCCCACUGCCUACCGCGUGAGCAGCAGCCCUGGGGCCAGCAGGAAGCGGACCCGCUCCAGAAGUCCCCACGAGAAGAAGAAGAAGAGGCGGUCCCGGUCGCGGACCAAGUCCAAGGCCAGGUCUCAGUCGGUGUCACCCAGCAAGCAGGCAGCGCCCCGGCCCGCGGCCCCCGCGGCCCCCUCGGCGCACUCAGCCAGCGUCUCCCCUGUGGAGAGUCGGGGCUCCAGCCAGGAGCGCUCCAGGGGAGUCUCUCAGGAAAAAGAAGCCCAGAUCUCUUCAGCAAUCGUUUCUUCCGUGCAGAGCAAAAUCACUCAGGAUCUCAUGGCCAAAGUCAGAGCGAUGCUUGCAGCUUCCAAAAACCUGCAAACCAGCGCUUCCUGAGACGGGGCCAGCGGAGGCAGAGCCGGGAGGCUGCGUGGGCUUCUGGGCAGGCCACACCAUCCACCUGGCCGCCUCCGUGGACCCUUGGUGGCUUUUGUAAAUUAAUUUUUGAUGACAUUUUGAGUUUUAAGAUUUCUGACCAGCAGUCUCUUACCUGUAUAUUUGUAAAUAUAUCAUGUUUCUGUGAAAAUGUAUUAUGAAAUAAAAUGGGAGGAAACACCUUUUCUAGCUAG